CGAGGGGAUGUGCAUUGGGGCAGCCGACCAUGCUACACUGCGCGCAUAGUCGUACAAAGACCGCCACGUUGGGGCGCUCCGGACGGGGGUUCGAUUCCCCCCGGCUCCACCAGAUGCCGAUGCCGAAAGACGAGGCGUCGUUAUCUGAUGGGGUCGACCUGGUUUCGACGGGGUGAGGAUACCGAAGCGGACGGCUCGAAAGGUGACGCACGUUAAGCGCACAAUCUUGUAAAUGCAAACGAUCGCAAUUACGCUGUAGCGGCCUAAUAUCCGCUUACGGAGCCUUCCCGGCUUGGCAACAGAAGAGGGACGCGGCCCCUUCGGGGGCCGUUGUUG
This 336-nucleotide transfer-messenger RNA is filed under the name Robbsia andropogonis. RNAcentral describes it as "Burkholderia andropogonis Betaproteobacteria transfer-messenger RNA". It matches the Rfam family "Betaproteobacteria transfer-messenger RNA". From Rfam's summary of the family: Bacterial tmRNA, also known as 10Sa RNA or SsrA, is named for its dual tRNA and mRNA-like properties. The record is from Rfam by way of RNAcentral. Lineage: Bacteria; Pseudomonadati; Pseudomonadota; Betaproteobacteria; Burkholderiales; Burkholderiaceae.